Molecule: ribosomal RNA, 273 nt
Filed under: uncultured bacterium
Lineage: Bacteria
Description: partial 16S ribosomal RNA
Rfam family: Bacterial small subunit ribosomal RNA
Source: RNAcentral
UACGUAGGGUGCAAGCGUUAAUCGGAAUUACUGGGCGUAAAGCGUGCGCAGGCGGUUUUGUAAGACUGUCGUGAAAUCCCCGGGCUUAACCUGGGAAUGGCGAUGGUGACUGCAAGGCUAGAGUUUGGCAGAGGGGGGUAGAAUUCCACGUGUAGCAGUGAAAUGCGUAGAGAUGUGGAGGAACACCGAUGGCGAAGGCAGCCCCCUGGGUCAAAACUGACGCUCAUGCACGAAAGCGUGGGGAGCAAACAGGAUUAGAAACCCGAGUAGUCC